AGAAUCAACGCUGGCGGCGUGCCUAACACAUGCAAGUCGAACGAGAAAGUGGAGCAAUCCAUGAGUAAAGUGGCGCACGGGUGAGUAACACGUGACUAACCUACCCUUGAGUGGGGGAUAACCUCGGGAAACCGGGGCUAAUACCGCAUAAUAUCGAGAGAUCAAAGGAGCAAUUCGCUUAAGGAGGGGGUCGCGGCUGAUUAGCUAGUUGGUAGGGUAAUGGCCUACCAAGGCUAUGAUCAGUAUCCGGCCUGAGAGGGCGCACGGACACACUGGAACUGAAACACGGUCCAGACUCCUACGGGAGGCAGCAGUGGGGAAUUUUGCGCAAUGGGGGAAACCCUGACGCAGCAACGCCGCGUGGAGGAUGAAGUCCCUUGGGACGUAAACUCCUUUCGAUCGGGACGAUAAUGACGGUACCGGAAGAAGAAGCCCCGGCUAACUUCGUGCCAGCCAGCCGC
Molecule: ribosomal RNA, 461 nt
Filed under: uncultured bacterium
Lineage: Bacteria
Description: SSU rRNA
Rfam family: Bacterial small subunit ribosomal RNA
Source: RNAcentral